RNAcentral lists this non-coding RNA (29 nucleotides) under Rattus norvegicus (Norway rat). The record is from RNAcentral. Lineage: Eukaryota; Metazoa; Chordata; Mammalia; Rodentia; Muridae.
UGUUAGCAAAUACUGGAGAGAAUCAUUCU